CUGGCUCAGGAUGAACGCUAGCCACAGGCUUAACACAUGCAAGUCGAGGGGCAGCAUGAUCUUAGCUUGCUAAGAUUGAUGGCGACCGGCGCACGGGUGAGUAACGCGUAUCCAACCUUCCCCUUAGUAGGGCAUAGCCCGGUGAAAAUCGGAUUAAUACCCUAUGUUGUGUCAUGAGGACAUCUGAAUAACACUAAAGAUUUAUCGCUAAGGGAUGGGGAUGCGUCCGAUUAGGUAGUCGGCGGGGUAACGGCCCACCGAGCCCUCGAUCGGUAGGGGUUCUGAGAGGAAGGUCCCCCACACUGGUACUGAGACACGGACCAGACUCCUACGGGAGGCAGCAGUGAGGAAUAUUGGUCAAUGGGCGUAAGCCUGAACCAGCCAAAAGUAGCGUGCAGGAUGACGGCCCUAUGGGUUGUAAACUGCUUUUAUACGGGGAUAAAGGGAGGGACGUGUCCCUUAUUGUAGGUACCGUAUGAAUAAGGACCGGCUAAUUCCGUGCCAGCCGCCGC
RNAcentral lists this ribosomal RNA (512 nucleotides) under uncultured bacterium. RNAcentral's name for it is "bacterial SSU rRNA". It matches the Rfam family "Bacterial small subunit ribosomal RNA", at positions 19 to 518 of the family's 1533-position model. The record is from RNAcentral.